This 284-nucleotide ribosomal RNA is filed under the name uncultured bacterium. RNAcentral describes it as "partial 16S ribosomal RNA". It matches the Rfam family "Bacterial small subunit ribosomal RNA", at positions 335 to 603 of the family's 1533-position model. The record is from RNAcentral.
ACUCCUACGGGAGGCAGCAGUGGGGAAUAUUGCACAAUGGGCGCAAGCCUGAUGCAGCCAUGCCGCGUGUGUGAAGAAGGCCUUCGGGUUGUAAAGCACUUUCAGUCGUGAGGAAGGUGGUGUAGUUAAUAGCUGCUAUUUAUUGAUCGUUAGACGAACAGAACGGAAGACACCGGCUAACUCCGUGCCAGCAGCCGGCGGUAAUACGGAGGGUGCGAGCGUUAAUCGGAAUUACUGGGCGUAAAGCGCAUGCAGGUGGUUUGUUAAGUCAGAUGUGAAAGCCC